This 253-nucleotide ribosomal RNA is filed under the name uncultured bacterium. RNAcentral's name for it is "partial 16S ribosomal RNA". It matches the Rfam family "Bacterial small subunit ribosomal RNA", at positions 524 to 776 of the family's 1533-position model. The record is from RNAcentral.
UACGUAGGGGGCAAGCGUUGUCCGGAAUCAUUGGGCGUAAAGAGCGUGUAGGCGGCCCGGUAAGUCCGCUGUGAAAGUCCAGGGCUCAACCCUGGGAUGCCGGUGGAUACUGUCGGGCUCGAGUCCGGAAGAGGAGUGUGGAAUUCCUGGUGUAGCGGUGAAAUGCGUAGAUAUCAAGAGGAACACCUGAGGUGAAGACGGGUUGCUGGGCCAACACUGACGCUGAGGCGCGAAAGCCAGGGGAGCAAACGGG